UCCAUUUUCGAAGAUUGUUGCAUUCAGUGC
RNAcentral lists this small RNA (30 nucleotides) under Bombyx mori (domestic silkworm). RNAcentral describes it as "piRNA piR-bmo-1694328". Lineage: Eukaryota; Metazoa; Arthropoda; Insecta; Lepidoptera; Bombycidae. The record is from RNAcentral.